UCGCGGGGUGGAGCAGUUCGGUAGCUCGUCGGGCUCAUAACCCGAAGGUCGCAGGUUCAAAUCCUGCCCCCGCAACCA
RNAcentral lists this transfer RNA (78 nucleotides) under Bacillus atrophaeus UCMB-5137. Its description in RNAcentral is "tRNA-Met". It matches the Rfam family "tRNA". From Rfam's summary of the family: Transfer RNA (tRNA) molecules are approximately 80 nucleotides in length. Lineage: Bacteria; Bacillati; Bacillota; Bacilli; Caryophanales; Bacillaceae. The record is from RNAcentral.